This 425-nucleotide ribosomal RNA is filed under the name uncultured bacterium. RNAcentral describes it as "partial 16S ribosomal RNA". It matches the Rfam family "Bacterial small subunit ribosomal RNA", at positions 354 to 796 of the family's 1533-position model. The record is from RNAcentral.
GUGGGGAAUCUUGCGCAAUGGGCGAAAGCCUGACGCAGCCAUGCCGCGUGAAUGAUGAAGGUCUUAGGAUUGUAAAAUUCUUUCACCGGGGACGAUAAUGACGGUACCCGGAGAAGAAGCCCCGGCUAACUUCGUGCCAGCAGCCGCGGUAAUACGAAGGGGGCUAGCGUUGCUCGGAAUUACUGGGCGUAAAGGGCGCGUAGGCGGACAGUUUAGUCAGAGGUGAAAGCCCAUGGCUCAACCUUGGAAUUGCCUUUGAUACUGGCUGUCUUGAGUACGGGAGAGGUGAGUGGAACUCCGAGUGUAGAGGUGAAAUUCGUAGAUAUUCGGAAGAACACCAGUGGCGAAGGCGACUCACUGGCCCGUUACUGACGCUGAGGCGCGAAAGCGUGGGGAGCAAACAGGAUUAGAAACCCUAGUAGUCC